CCUACGGGUGGCAGCAGUGGGGAAUAUUGCACAAUGGGGGAAACCCUGAUGCAGCAACGCCGCGUGAGUGAGGAAGUAUUUCGGUAUGUAAAGCUCUAUCAGCAGGGAAGAGAAAAGAAGGGACCUGAAAAAGAAGCCCCGGCUAACUACGUGCCAGCAGCCGCGGUAAGACGUAGGGGGCAAGCGUGAUCCGGAUGUACUGGGUGUAAAGGGAGCGGAGACGGCAAGGCAAGUCAGAAGUGAAAACCCAAGGCUCAACCAUGGGACUGCUUUUGAAACUGUCAAACUAGAGUACGGGAGCGGUAAGAUGACUUCCUCGUGUAGCGGUGACAUGCGUCGAUUUUAGGCG
RNAcentral lists this ribosomal RNA (349 nucleotides) under uncultured bacterium. RNAcentral's name for it is "partial 16S ribosomal RNA". It matches the Rfam family "Bacterial small subunit ribosomal RNA", at positions 338 to 703 of the family's 1533-position model. The record is from RNAcentral.